Molecule: ribosomal RNA, 465 nt
Filed under: uncultured bacterium
Lineage: Bacteria
Description: bacterial SSU rRNA
Rfam family: Bacterial small subunit ribosomal RNA
Source: RNAcentral
CCUACGGGGGGCAGCAGUGGGGAAUUUUGGACAAUGGGCGCAAGCCUGAUCCAGCCAUGCCGCGUGCGGGAAGAAGGCCUUCGGGUUGUAAACCGCUUUUGUCAGGGAAGAAAAGGUUCUGGCUAAUACCUGGGACUCAUGACGGUACCUGAAGAAUAAGCACCGGCUAACUACGUGCCAGCAGCCGCGGUAAUACGUAGGGUGCAAGCGUUAAUCGGAAUUACUGGGCGUAAAGCGUGCGCAGGCGGUUAUGCAAGACAGAGGUGAAAUCCCCGGGCUCAACCUGGGAACUGCCUUUGUGACUGCAUGGCUAGAGUACGGUAGAGGGGGAUGGAAUUCCGCGUGUAGCAGUGAAAUGCGUAGAUAUGCGGAGGAACACCGAUGGCGAAGGCAAUCCCCUGGACCUGUACUGACGCUCAUGCACGAAAGCGUGGGGAGCAAACAGGAUUAGAUACCCCGGUAGUC